Molecule: ribosomal RNA, 550 nt
Filed under: uncultured bacterium
Lineage: Bacteria
Description: bacterial SSU rRNA
Rfam family: Bacterial small subunit ribosomal RNA
Source: RNAcentral
UAGGGAAUCUUCGGCAAUGGACGGAAGUCUGACCGAGCAACGCCGCGUGAGUGAAGAAGGUUUUCGGAUCGUAAGGCUCUGUUGUAAGAGAAGAACGAGUGUGAGAGUGGAAAGUUCACACUGUGACGGUAUCUUACCAGAAAGGGACGGCUAACUACGUGCCAGCAGCCGCGGUAAUACGUAGGUCCCGAGCGUUGUCCGGAUUUAUUGGGCGUAAAGCGAGCGCAGGCGGUUAGAUAAGUCUGAAGUUAAAGGCUGUGGCUUAACCAUAGUACGCUUUGGAAACUGUUUAACUUGAGUGCAAGAGGGGAGAGUGGAAUUCCAUGUGUAGCGGUGAAAUGCGUAGAUAUAUGGAGGAACACCGGUGGCGAAAGCGGCUCUCUGGCUUGUAACUGACGCUGAGGCUCGAAAGCGUGGGGAGCAAACAGGAUUAGAUACCCUGGUAGUCCACGCCGUAAACGAUGAGUGCUAGGUGUUAGACCCUUUCCGGGGUUUAGUGCCGCAGCUAACGCAUUAAGCACUCCGCCUGGGGAGUACGACCGCAAGGUUG